This 326-nucleotide ribosomal RNA is filed under the name uncultured eukaryote. Its description in RNAcentral is "partial 18S ribosomal RNA". It matches the Rfam family "Eukaryotic small subunit ribosomal RNA", at positions 1470 to 1796 of the family's 1831-position model. The record is from RNAcentral.
CCCUUAGAUGUCCUGGGCCGCACGCGUGCUACACUGACACUUACACCGAGUUUUUCCAAUGCCGAAAGGCCAUUGGUAAUCAGCAAUAAGUGUCGUGAUGGGGAUAGAUCUUUGGAAUUAUUGAUCUUGAACGAGGAAUGCCUAGUAAUCGUAGGUCAUCAGCCUGCGAUGAUUACGUCCCUGCCCUUUGUACACACCGCCCGUCGCUCCUACCGAUUGAAUGGUCCGGUGAAGCGUUCGGACCGUGGCCUUUGGACGGUUCGCCGUCUGUUGGCUGCGGGAAGUUCGUUAAACCUUAUCAUUUAGAGGAAGGAGAAGUCGUANCA